This 253-nucleotide ribosomal RNA is filed under the name uncultured bacterium. RNAcentral describes it as "partial 16S ribosomal RNA". It matches the Rfam family "Bacterial small subunit ribosomal RNA", at positions 524 to 776 of the family's 1533-position model. The record is from RNAcentral.
UACGUAGGGGGCGAGCGUUGUCCGGAUUUAUUGGGCGUAAAGAGCUCGUAGGCGGCCAGCCAGGUCCGUUGUGAAAACUCGAGGCUCAACCUCGAGAUGUCGAUGGAAACCGUCUGGCUAGAGUCCGGAAGAGGAGUGUGGAAUUCCUGGUGUAGCGGUGAAAUGCGCAGAUAUCAGGAAGAACACCUAUGGCGAAGGCAGCACUCUGGGACGGUACUGACGCUGAGACGCGAAAGCGUGGGGAGCGAACAGG